UGCAAGUCGAGCGGGUGCAGCAAUGCAUCAGCGGCGGACGGGUGAGUAACGCGUGGGCAAUCUACCUUCUAGUCUGGGAUAACAGUUCGAAAGGACUGCUAACACCGGAUAUGCUCACAUCCCGGCAUCGGGAAGUGAGGAAAGUUUACGCUAGAAGAUGAGCCCGCGUCCCAUUAGCUAGUUGGUGAGGUAACGGCCCACCAAGGCGACGAUGGGUAGCCGACCUGAGAGGGUGACCGGCCACACUGGGACUGAGACACGGCCCAGACUCCUACGGGAGGCAGCAGUAGGGAAUUUUCCGCAAUGGGCGAAAGCCUGACGGAGCAACGCCGCGUGAGGGAUGAAGGUCUUCGGAUCGUAAACCUUUGUCUAGAGGGACGAUAAUGACGGUACCUCUGGAGGAAGCCACGGCUAACUACGUGCCAGCAGCCGCGGUAAUACGUAGGUGGCGAGCGUUGUCCGGAAUUACUGGGCGUAAAGGGCGUGUAGGCGGCCUUUUAAGUCAGACGUGAAAUCUCUGGGCUUAACCCAGAAAUUGCGUUUGAAACUGGAGGGCUUGAGGAUCGGAGAGGGCAGUGGAAUUCCCAGUGUAGCGGUGAAAUGCGUAGAUAUUGGGAGGAACACCAGUGGCGGAGGCGACUGCCUGGACGACACCUGACGCUGAGGCGCGAAAGCUAGGGGAGCAAACGGGAUUAGAUACCCCGGUAGUCCUAGCCGUAAACGAUGGGUACUAGGUGUGGGAGGUAUCGACCCCUUCCG
RNAcentral lists this ribosomal RNA (759 nucleotides) under uncultured bacterium. RNAcentral's name for it is "bacterial SSU rRNA". It matches the Rfam family "Bacterial small subunit ribosomal RNA", at positions 56 to 843 of the family's 1533-position model. The record is from RNAcentral.